RNAcentral lists this non-coding RNA (172 nucleotides) under Vibrio aerogenes. Its description in RNAcentral is "FMN sequence". It matches the Rfam family "FMN riboswitch aptamer (RFN element)". From Rfam's summary of the family: The RFN element is a highly conserved domain that is found frequently in the 5'-untranslated regions of prokaryotic mRNAs that encode for flavin mononucleotide (FMN) biosynthesis and transport proteins. RNAcentral also lists the same sequence under 1 other name. The record is from RNAcentral. Lineage: Bacteria; Pseudomonadati; Pseudomonadota; Gammaproteobacteria; Vibrionales; Vibrionaceae.
AUCGAACUUCGGGGCGGGGUGAAAUUCCCCACCGGCGGUGAUUUUGUUGCAGAUUGCGGUGGCAACUCAGCAAACAGCCCGCGAGCGCCUGAGACCAUUGAUGGCCGCAGGGACAGCAGAUCCGGUGAGAUACCGGAGCCGACGGUGAUAGUCCGGAUGAAAGAAGAUCGAC